RNAcentral lists this ribosomal RNA (468 nucleotides) under uncultured bacterium. Its description in RNAcentral is "partial 16S ribosomal RNA". It matches the Rfam family "Bacterial small subunit ribosomal RNA", at positions 28 to 507 of the family's 1533-position model. The record is from RNAcentral.
GACGAACGCUGGCGGCGUGCUUAACACAUGCAAGUCGAACGGAAAGGCCCUGCUUUUGUGGGGUGCUCGAGUGGCGAACGGGUGAGUAACACGUGAGUAACCUGCCCUUGACUUUGGGAUAACUUCAGGAAACUGGGGCUAAUACCGGAUAGGAGCUCCUGCUCCAUGGUGGGGGUUGGAAAGUUUCGGCGGUUGGGGAUGGACUCGCGGCUUAUCAGCUUGUUGGUGGGGUAGUGGCUUACCAAGGCUUUGACGGGUCGCCGGCCUGUGAGGGUGACCGGGCACAUGGGGACUGCGAUACGGCCCAGACUGCAACGGGAGGCAGCAGGGGGGAAUAUUACACAGUGGGCGGAAGCCUGAUGAAGCAACGCCGCGUGCGGGAUGACGGCCUUCGGGGUGUAAACCGCUUUCGCCUGUGACGAAGCGUUAGUGACGGUAAUGAGUAAAGAAGCACCGGCUAACUACGUG